Molecule: long non-coding RNA, 377 nt
Organism: Argiope bruennichi
Lineage: Eukaryota; Metazoa; Arthropoda; Arachnida; Araneae; Araneidae
Exons: 4
Source: RefSeq, a predicted model, not a curated record
GAAUUUUAACAGCUGAUGAAUUUAGUAGAGGAUUGGUAGUUCAAAUAUUUUAUAAUCGGAUAAUUUGUAAUGUUAUUAUCACAAUUGAUGAAUUCCAUUUGAAAAGGAACAACAAUUAUCCUGAUCUACAAUUCAGGAGGAAAGCUUUACUUGCUUCCCAUGCAAGACAAAAACUAGAGAAGUAAUAGAGGAGUGCAGUAGAUUGUCUUCCAAACAUAUUUAUGCUUUUGAAUUUCCUGACUCUGUUUUAUCACGAAAAUAUUGUCAACUUGUUCGUGAAAAUUUGAGAGCCAUCAGAUUUUGUUCUACAUCUUCUUUUUGGCAGCAUCCCGGAUUGCGAGCUCAUGUUCUAGAGUGUUCCAGAUUGAAGUUCUGAA